Molecule: ribosomal RNA, 1234 nt
Filed under: Psychrobacter sp.
Lineage: Bacteria; Pseudomonadati; Pseudomonadota; Gammaproteobacteria; Moraxellales; Moraxellaceae
Description: bacterial SSU rRNA
Rfam family: Bacterial small subunit ribosomal RNA
Source: RNAcentral
UCGGCGGGCGGCAGCUUACACAUGCAAGUCGAGCGGUAACAUUUCUAGCUUGCUAGAAGAUGACGAGCGGCGGACGGGUGAGUAAUACUUAGGAAUCUACCUAGUAGUGGGGGAUAGCACGGGGAAACUCGUAUUAAUACCGCAUACGACCUACGGGAGAAAGGGGGCAGUUUACUGCUCUCGCUAUUAGAUGAGCCUAAGUCGGAUUAGCUAGAUGGUGGGGUAAAGGCCUACCAUGGCGACGAUCUGUAGCUGGUCUGAGAGGAUGAUCAGCCACACCGGGACUGAGACACGGCCCGGACUCCUACGGGAGGCAGCAGUGGGGAAUAUUGGACAAUGGGGGCAACCCUGAUCCAGCCAUGCCGCGUGUGUGAAGAAGGCCUUUUGGUUGUAAAGCACUUUAAGCAGUGAAGAAGACUCCGUGGUUAAUACCCACGGACGAUGACAUUAGCUGCAGAAUAAGCACCGGCUAACUCUGUGCCAGCAGCCGCGGUAAUACAGAGGGUGCAAGCGUUAAUCGGAAUUACUGGGCGUAAAGGGAGCGUAGGUGGCUCGAUAAGUCAGAUGUGAAAUCCCCGGGCUCAACCUGGGAACUGCAUCUGAAACUGUCGUGCUAGAGUAUGUGAGAGGAAGGUAGAAUUCCAGGUGUAGCGGUGAAAUGCGUAGAGAUCUGGAGGAAUACCGAUGGCGAAGGCAGCCUUCUGGCAUAAUACUGACACUGAGGCUCGAAAGCGUGGGUAGCAAACAGGAUUAGAUACGCUGGUAGUCCACGCCGUAAACGAUGUCUACUAGUCGUUGGGUCCCUUGAGGACUUAGUGACGCAGCUAACGCAAUAAGUAGACCGCCUGGGAGUACGGCCGCAAGGUUAAAACUCAAAUGAAUUGACGGGGCCCGCACAAGCGGUGGAGCAUGUGGUUUAAUUCGAUGCAACGCGAAGAACAUACCUGCUCUUGACAUAUCUAGAAUCCUGCAGAGAUGCGAGAGUGCCGUCGGUAUUAGAUACAGGUGCUGCAUGGCUGUCGUCAGCUCGAGUCGUGACAUCGUUGCGUUAAGUACUGCAACGACACCACCCAUGGUCCUACUUACCAGCGGUGAGUCGGGUAGUCUAAGCAUCUGCAAGUGGACAACUUGACGCACGGCGGACGAGUUCAGGUCUCUGGCGUAGGACAGUGCUGAUUGCUCCAAUGUAGUCAGUACCGUACGGCAUGAUGCCAUCUCAAGCUAUCGUAUGUCA